Perca fluviatilis (European perch) is the source of this 415-nucleotide long non-coding RNA. RefSeq lists it as uncharacterized. NCBI's taxonomy places the organism in Eukaryota, Metazoa, Chordata, Actinopteri, Perciformes, Percidae. The transcript is spliced from 2 exons. The record is from RefSeq and is a predicted model, not a curated record.
UGGUUUUCAGUUUCAACUUUCUGUCACUGUUUUGGCGUAGGGAGGAGGGGCCUGAGGGGAGGGACAAAGAGGGCGUGGUUUACAGGUAAUUUGCAUAUGAUUUGCAUACUGUGAGAGACUGCACCUCCACAGGCAUCCUCACAGAUUACCUAUAUCUGCAAUGGCUUCCACAAGUUCACCUGGAACCUCCAAAUCUAAGAUAUACAAGAUCUUUUCUUGGAGGGGGACCAUGACAGAGUGACAGAAGAGUCUGCCAGUGGAGUACUUUUACCACCCAUCCAGUGCCCUCUGAGGCUGCAGACCAUGGCAGAACUGAGGGCAGCCAUUUACCCUGUGACUAACUCCUAGUACAAUGGCGGAUAGCUUUGCAAGACUGCACUUAACUAUGUGAUUCUUCACACAUAAACAUGGCAGG